UACGUAGGGCGCAAGCGUUGUCCGGAAUUAUUGGGCGUAAAGGGCGUGUAGGCGGUUUGUUAAGUUUGGCGUGAAAGCUCUCGGCUAAACCGGGAGAGGUCGUUGGAUACUGGCAAACUAGAGGACGGUAGAGGCGUGUGGAAUUCCGGGUGUAGUGGUGAAAUGCGUAGAGAUCCGGAGGAACACCAGUGGCGAAGGCGACACGCUGGGCCGUACCUGACGCUAAAGCGCGACAGCAUGGGGAGCAAACGGG
RNAcentral lists this ribosomal RNA (253 nucleotides) under uncultured bacterium. RNAcentral describes it as "partial 16S ribosomal RNA". It matches the Rfam family "Bacterial small subunit ribosomal RNA", at positions 524 to 776 of the family's 1533-position model. The record is from RNAcentral.